GUGUCCACUGUAUAUGUACAUGUAUAUGUAUAUGUAUAUGUAUAUGUAUAUAUGUAUAUAUACAGUGUGUGUGU
Molecule: non-coding RNA, 74 nt
Organism: Podarcis lilfordi (Lilford's wall lizard)
Lineage: Eukaryota; Metazoa; Chordata; Lepidosauria; Squamata; Lacertidae
Source: the annotation of a GenBank genome assembly